RNAcentral lists this ribosomal RNA (497 nucleotides) under uncultured bacterium. Its description in RNAcentral is "partial 16S ribosomal RNA". It matches the Rfam family "Bacterial small subunit ribosomal RNA", at positions 28 to 507 of the family's 1533-position model. The record is from RNAcentral.
GAUGAACGCUGGCGGCGUGCCUAAUACAUGCAAGUCGAGCGAACGGACGAGAAGCUUGCUUCUCUGAUGUUAGCGGCGGACGGGUGAGUAACACGUGGAUAACCUACCUAUAAGGCUGGGAUAACUUCGGGAAACCGGAGCUAAUACCGGAUAAUAUUUUGAACCGCAUGGUUCAAAAGUGAAAGACGGUCUUGCUGUCACUUAUAGAUGGAUCCGCGCUGCAUUAGCUAGUUGGUAAGGUAACGGCUUACCAAGGCAACGAUGCAUAGCCGACCUGGGAGGGUGAUCGGCCACACUGGAACUGAGACACGGUCCAGACUCCUACGGGAGGCAGCAGUAGGGAAUCUUCCGCAAUGGGCGAAAGCCUGACGGAGCAACGCCGCGUGAGUGAUGAAGGUCUUCGGAUCGUAAAACUCUGUUAUUAGGGAAGAACAUAUGUGUAAGUAACUGUGCACAUCUUGACGGUACCUAAUCAGAAAGCCACGGCUAACUACGUG